AAAUUUCAAUGCCUUUCCUUUCUUACUUGUGGCUGAUUGUAGCAUGUUUUAUCUUAAUGUGUAAACACCAAUGUGUUUCCAAACCAUGAUUAAGUGAAGGUAUUGCUUGUUAUGUGUAUAAAAAUGUUCACGGUUUCAAUUUGCUAUAUUAGACUUUGUCCAUUAUUAAAAAAUGUUGCUUGAUUUCCUCCUCUCUAAUUGUUAAAUUUUAGUUUCUGUGUUU
Molecule: unclassified non-coding RNA, 223 nt
Filed under: Hevea brasiliensis (rubber tree)
Lineage: Eukaryota; Viridiplantae; Streptophyta; Magnoliopsida; Malpighiales; Euphorbiaceae
Source: RNAcentral